This 872-nucleotide ribosomal RNA is filed under the name uncultured eukaryote. Its description in RNAcentral is "SSU rRNA". It matches the Rfam family "Eukaryotic small subunit ribosomal RNA", at positions 573 to 1470 of the family's 1831-position model. The record is from RNAcentral.
GCCGCGGUAAUUCCAGCUCCAAUAGCGUAUAUUAAAGUUGUUGCGGUAAAAAAGCUCGUAGUUGGAUUUCUGUUGAAGACGUCCGGUCCAUACCACGUAUGCGCAUCUGGCUCGGCUUCGGCAUCCUCUCGAAAGACGUUUCUGCGCUUGAUUGCGUGGAGCGGAUCUCGGGACUUUUACUUUGAGGAAAUUAGAGUGUUCACGGCAGGCUAUCGCCAGAAUACAUUAGCAUGGAAUAAUACUAUAGGAUCUCGGUUCUAUUUUGUUGGUUUCUAGAAUUGAGAUAAUGAUUAAUAGGGACAAUUGGGGGCAUUCGUAUCAACACGUUAGAGGUGAAAUUCUUGGAUCGUGUUGCGACGAACUACUGCGAAAGCAUUUGCCAAGGAUGUUUUCAUUGAUCAAGAACGAAAGUAAGGGGAUCGAAGACGAUUAGAUACCGUCGUAGUCUUUACCAUAAACUAUGCCAACUAGAGAUGGGACAUCGUUCACUUAAGACUUGUUCCGCACCUUAUGAGAUAUCAAAGUCUUUGGGUUCCGGGGGGAGUAUGGUCGCAAGUCUGAAACUUAAAGGAAUUGACGGAAGGGCACCACCAGGAGUGGAGCCUGCGGCUUAAUUUGACUCAACACGGGGAAACUCACCAGGUCCAGACAUAAUAAGGAUUGACAGAUUGAUAGCUCUUUCUUGAUUUUAUGGGUGGUGGUGCAUGGCCGUUCUUAGUUCGUGGAGUGAUUUGUCUGCUUAAUUGCGUUAACGAACGAGACCUUAACCUGCUAAAUAGGAGCGCCUAUCUCCGGAUAAGCGCCUUUCUUCUUAGAGGGACUUUAUGCGUUUCAGCAUGAGGAAGUUUGAGGCUAAAACAGGUCUGUGAUGC